CUCAGUAGCGAGAGCUUGUAACCUAAGCGGGGGCAUUAAGGUGGUGUGGAUGUUUCCUGACGGAUUCUGGGCCUGGGCCUGUAUGUGCCACUGGCCGGCCUGCCCGUUCCAAGUUGGUUGUGGCUGGUGGGGCUCGGGCGAAGGCCUGGGCCUCUUUAGACCUGAAGCGGCAGGCAUGGCGUGAGGCUGGCUUCACAGAGCAGCGAUCACUGCCCGCUUCCAACGGUGGGAGGAUAACAGGCCGCUGCAUUGCAAGCCCAACUCGGUCCAGAGCCUCAUUAAACAGACCACCAUCUUUUUGUUUUUUUUGGACUGUUCUUCCCUCGGCGCAAAAAAUGUUUUUGCUUUUAAUAAAUCUGUUUAUCUCCAGACUUCUCUAUGACUCAAAUCUAUCAUCAAUCUCCCUGUAUGCAACAAAUAUUUUUGCCGUCUCCUAUUUGUAUGGCCUUCGUUCCUGAAAGUUGGAUACAGUUUCCAGAUGAUCGGAACCCGCCGACGACAACAUUGGCGCUACCUGGGGCCCUGAAUUCUCGGGGCGCAGAUGGCAAAUGCUGCCCAAUCCGGCUAUUGUCAUCUGUUUGUUCCUUUUAGUGUACAACAAACUCAUCAAUUCUUGCACUCCCAUUUAAGAUCGGCCAAAAUGACUCAAUGCUGCAACCAAGUGCUUCUACAGUGUUAUAUGCUAAUAGAGCAAACAACAUAACUAUAACAGGAGUAGAGACUUGAUUAUAAGCUAAAAGAAAUGUGGUCCUAGUUUUGAUCGCAAAGGGGUGACGACAACGACCAGUUUUAUUGAUAGGUACACACUGUCUCCGUUCGUUGCCUUGGCUGGUUUCUCUAGUAGAACUCCUGGUAGUGCUACCAACCUUUUAUCUCGCGUCAAACCGAAAUACAGGAAAAUAUUCAUUGCGUAUAAGUUGUUUGAAUCACCAGCUGCCAUGGGAGCAAAGCUGAUACGACGAAUUCCUCACAAUUCUUCAUGCCUCGUACAAAUCAUAUGUUCCUCCCUAGCCUAGCAUUAAUUUGACUAGUAUAUAGGAACAAAUGCGUUUGAGAGGGGAUAUCUUUACAGUUCUAUCCGGCUUGUGUGACGGAAAAUGACAAAACGUGCCAAGGCAAAGUGUUCUGGGCCGACUAAAAGUAUUUAUUUCGUCGAGAGAAGCAACGAAGCCCACUCCUCCGAGACACUGUUCCCUCCCACGUGACCUGUCAUUUAGCACCACCUCGGCAGUCUCAGUCUGUUCGUACCAGCUUAAAUAUUCUUCGUGACUGCCUGGUCUAGCCGAGUUCUGUAGCUGGAGCUUGUAACCCGAGCGGGGGCAUUAAGGUGGCGCGGAUGCUUUGCGAUGGUUUCUGGGCCUGGGCUCGUUGUGACUCUAGCCGGCUUGCCCAUCCCAAGUUGGUAGUGUCUGACGGGGCUCUAGCGAAAGCUUUGGGUCUCUGCAGACCUACAGCGGCAGGAAUGGCGUAAGGCUGGCUUCACAGAGCAGCGAUCACUGCCCACUUCCAACGGUGGGAGGAUAACAAGCCGCUGCACUUUGAGCCCAACACAGACCCAGAUCCUCUCUUAGCAA
RNAcentral lists this long non-coding RNA (1574 nucleotides) under Zea mays. RNAcentral describes it as "long non-coding RNA (ZMAY_LNC005247)". The stretch from base 1 to 298 matches the Rfam family "Plant signal recognition particle RNA". The record is from RNAcentral. Lineage: Eukaryota; Viridiplantae; Streptophyta; Magnoliopsida; Poales; Poaceae.